Molecule: unclassified non-coding RNA, 2781 nt
Filed under: Leishmania donovani
Lineage: Eukaryota; Euglenozoa; Kinetoplastea; Trypanosomatida; Trypanosomatidae
Description: gene:LdHU3.17.1770(CDS-product:UDP-sugar_pyrophos phorylase)
Source: RNAcentral
UCUUGCGACAACGCUGUCGUGCAUGAGCACAACAGAAAAGUGCUGCGCCCCCCCCUCCCCCGAGCGUUGCCCCUGCUUGGACUUGAUCGUUCUGGUCUUAAGUUUGCGUGCCGCUCCCCGCCCUUCCCCUUCUUCCUCCACCUCGCCGUGUAUAGGCCGGCGCCUGUGUGUGUGUGCCACCAUGCACGGAUCAAACCUCCCCUGACAGGCACGACAACCCACCCAUCGAGACACCUCCCCCCUCUCACACCCUCUUUUCACCUUUUUACUCUCUUCUUUGCUUCGUGGAUUUUUCGAGCAGUUUCGGGGAGGGGCUACGCUCGCUGCUGGUUGUGGCUGUCCUUCUCACCUCUUCUGUCUUACCACCACCACCGCCACUACCCCCCUCACUCGGAGGGAGCGCUUCGACGCUGCUUGACCCGCCGCCGCGCCCCUCCGCACAACCCUUGUAUGGCUGCUCGUCUUGUCUUGCGUCGUUGUCUGUCGCCUCUUCCCCGCCGAGCCCGUCUGCUCUCUCCUUUUCUGUCGAUACGCGGCCUCAUGACGAACCCGUCUAACUCCAACCUGCAGGCGUUGCGCGAGGAGCUCUGCACGCCUGGCCUGGAUCAGGGUCACCUCUUCGAGGGAUGGCCGGAGACCGUGGAUGAGUGCGACGAGAGGCAGAUCGCCCUCCUUACAGAUUUGUACAUGUUUUCAAACAUGUAUCCCGGCGGCGUCGCUCAGUACAUCCGCAACGGGCACGAGCUGCUGGCGCGUGAGAGCGAAGAGGUGGACUUUGCAGCGCUGGAGAUGCCCCCUCUCAUCUUCGAGGCCCCGUCGCUGCACCGGCGCACGGCGGAGAGGACCGCGCUGGAGAGCGCCGGAACCGCGAUGCUGUGCAAGACGGUGUUCGUGCUGGUUGCUGGUGGUCUGGGCGAACGUCUGGGCUACUCAAGCAUCAAGGUGGGCCUGCCGGUGGAGACGGCGACGAACACAACGUAUCUCGCCUACUACCUCCGGUGGGCACAGCGAGUGGGAGGGAAGGAGGUACCGUUUGUGAUAAUGACCUCUGACGACACGCACGACCGCACGCUGCAGCUCCUGCGCGAGCUGCAGUUGGAUGUGCCCAACUUGCAUGUGCUCAAGCAGGGGCAGGUCUUCUGCUUCGCCGACAGCGCCGCGCACCUCGCCCUGGACGAUACAGGGAAGCUGCUGCGCAAGCCGCACGGCCACGGCGACGUGCACUCCCUCAUCUACAACGCGACUGUGAAGAGAGACGUGGUGCCGAACUCCGGCGACGGUACCGCGACGGCGCAGCCACUCGUGAACGACUGGCUGGCGGCCGGCUACGAGUCCAUUGUCUUUAUCCAGGACACCAACGCCGGCGCGACGGUCACAAUCCCCAUCAGCCUCGCCUUGAGCGCCGAGCACUCGCUCGACAUGAACUUCACCUGCAUCCCUCGUGUGCCGAAGGAGCCGAUCGGGCUGCUAUGCCGAGCCAAGAAGAAUAGCGGCGACCCGUGGCUGGUCGCGAGCGUGGAGUACAACGUCUUUGCCGAGGUUUCGCGCACGCUUAACAAGGAUGGCGGCGAAGAAGCCAGUGACCCCACUGGCUUCUCCCCGUUCCCUGGUAGCGUCAACACCCUCGUGCUCAAGCUCUCCAGCUACGUGGACCGGCUGCGGGAGUCGAACGGUAUCGUUCCGGAGUUCAUCAACCCCAAGUACUCGGAUGAGACGCGUCGCUCCUUCAAGAAGCCCGCACGCAUCGAGUCCCUGAUGCAGGACAUCGCGCUGCUCUUCUCCGAGGAUGACUACCGCGUCGGCGGUACCGUCUUCGAGCGAUUCUCGUACCAGCCAGUGAAGAACUCGCUAAAGGGGGCGGCAGCGCUUGUGGCGCAGGGCAACGGCGCCUACUGCGCCGCCACGGGCGAGGCUGACUUCUACGAGCUGCAGCGGCGCCGUCUCAAGGCUAUCGGGCUGCCGCUCUUCUACAGCUCGCAGGCGGAGGUGACGGUGGCGAACGACACUAUUGGCGUGCAUAUCUUCCCGAUAAUCGUGCUGGAUGCCAUGUGCGCGUCAAGCGGAUCCCUCGACGACCUUGCGAGCGUCUUUCCGACGCCGGAAAAGGUGCACAUCGAUCAGCACAGCACCUUGAUUGUUGAGGGCCGUGUCAUCAUUGAGAGCCUGGAGCUAUACGGUGCACUCACGAUUCGCGGCCCGACAGGCCCGAUGGCGCUGCCGCACGUAAUACGCAACGCUGUGGUGCGCAAUGCCGGUUGGUCGGUGCACGCGAUCUUGUCUCUCGGCGCUGGGUGCGAUAGCAGGCUGUCCGAGGUGGACCGCAUCCGCGGGUUUGUGCUGGAGAAGACGACCAUGACGGUGAUGGACUGCCGUACGAAGGGCGAGUCCGAGGCCGGUGCACCGUCUGGUGCGGCUGACCCGGCAAAGUUGUAGUAGUCGCUGCCGAGAGGGUGCCUGCUGGCGUGGGUGCUCCCGUGUAGUUGAACGAGCGCUGGCUCUGCCGGCGCACCGGGCCGUCUUUCCAGCGACGGCGCGUGUGGGUGCCCCAGCGCGGGUGCACACACCGGUGGGAGAGUGCCGUGUGCCAGCCCACACACAGCGCGGCACUGCUGGCCGUCUUACCUCCCUGCCAUGAAUUCCUAUUUGCCUUUCGCAUUUCUGCAAGCCGCAGCAGAAGGUGCAGGACGGUGGUGGGCCUCCCCCCCCCCUCACCACCACCAUGACGGGUGCCGGCCACACGGACACUUGCGCAGAGCACCGGUGCCACACCUUAGAAGCAAC